UCCCUCCUAGCUCAGUGGGUAAAGAAUCUGCCUGCAGUGCAGGAGACCUGGGUUCCAUCCCCAGGUCAGGAA
This 72-nucleotide transfer RNA is filed under the name Bos taurus (domestic cattle). It matches the Rfam family "tRNA". From Rfam's summary of the family: Transfer RNA (tRNA) molecules are approximately 80 nucleotides in length. Their secondary structure includes four short double-helical elements and three loops (D, anti-codon, and T loops). RNAcentral also lists the same sequence under 5 other names. The record is from Rfam by way of RNAcentral. Lineage: Eukaryota; Metazoa; Chordata; Mammalia; Artiodactyla; Bovidae.